UCCGCAGUAGCUCAAUGGUGGAGCAACCGGCUGUUAACCGGUAGGCUACAGGUUCGAGUCCUGUCUGCGGAGCCA
Molecule: transfer RNA, 75 nt
Filed under: [Clostridium] ultunense Esp
Lineage: Bacteria; Bacillati; Bacillota; Tissierellia; Tissierellales; Tepidimicrobiaceae
Description: tRNA-Asn
Rfam family: tRNA
About the family: Transfer RNA (tRNA) molecules are approximately 80 nucleotides in length. Their secondary structure includes four short double-helical elements and three loops (D, anti-codon, and T loops).
Source: RNAcentral